This 1132-nucleotide unclassified non-coding RNA is filed under the name Hevea brasiliensis (rubber tree). Lineage: Eukaryota; Viridiplantae; Streptophyta; Magnoliopsida; Malpighiales; Euphorbiaceae. The record is from RNAcentral.
UAUACAACAGGUUACGGAGGAAACCCAAAGGUUAAGAAGUAAGCAGAAGCAAUUACAUUCUACAGAUGCCAAAGACGAUGGUAUUAUGAUUUGGGGGAUAAAUACAGAGGUGGGGCGAGAAACUGAACCCUAUAACUUCUAAAAUAAGCCAACCUCCAUUGAAACCUAUCUGAAGUUAGGUUCAUAGGGCGACAUAAAAUUAUGUUAUCAUUAAGACAUCUUUUCUAUUCCUUUAUGCCCAUUAGGCUGGGAGUUCCAGCAGCAGCCCCUUGCAGAUCUGAUAAGGAGAAAGACCUCCAUGGACUAAGCUUCUGGUCAGGAGGUGAUGAUGAGGGCUCAAUGCUAUAUCUUCUUGGUUGUGGAGGCAGAGGGGGAAGAGAGAAAUGAGGUGACGAUGCAUUUGAGUUCAAGGACUCCGAACUAUUAUUGCUCUCAGAGCAGCUGGAGGUUGCACCAAGAGCUAAUGAGCUUCUAGAGCUUAUUGGUCUCUUGUAUAACCCACAGCUAUUAUUUCUUGGGAAGUGAUUCCGAUUCUUGCCAAAGAAAUUGCUAUGAGCAAGCAGGUUCUUGCGUUUUCUAGAGUAUGCAUUCUCCGCCUUGACCAUAUCUUUAAGCGAGGAACAUGAUACUGCAUCUGCUAGACUAGUAUAAGAUUUCGAUUUACCAGCAUAAAAACUUGAAAUGCCCCUCUUGAUCGGCAAAACCUCCUCCAAAGACUCCAAAUUAUCGAGAGCACCAGGUUUAAACGGACUCUGAACCUCCUCUCCAUCACCUUCUCCAGGGCAUCCAUUUGAUGAAGACCCUCCCGCCAGCGGUGAGUCAUCACUAUUCCUACCAAUAGAAGAAGACGACGAAGAAGAAGUCCGAUCAUCCUCAUCUUCCCGCUUCACCUGAACCAUACUUUCUCCGACGCCUAGAUCUGGCGAGUUAUAGAUCGGAACAAAAGUCAUUCCGUGCAUAAAUCCUGGCCGUUCGAUCUGAUGAUCAGGUGUACUAUUCCUCUCAAACGCAAUCGACAUAGCCUGCACUUUCGCUUUCACUUGUGCUGAGAAAAAAGCAGAUACAUAUGAAGAAACCUAGAGAGUUUAUGUAUUAUAUAUAUAAUAAUAAACCAGAAAGAAGAGAGAGAAAG